Non-coding RNA from Equus caballus (horse), 71 nucleotides. NCBI's taxonomy places the organism in Eukaryota, Metazoa, Chordata, Mammalia, Perissodactyla, Equidae. The record is from Rfam.
GUGUGGGUGGCUCAGUGGUAGAAUUCUCACCUGCCACGUGAGAGGCCACAGUUUGAUUCCUGGCCCAUGCA